UACAGAGGUCUCAAGCGUUGUUCGGAUUCAUUGGGCGUAAAGAGCGCGCAGGCGGUCGGAUCAGUCGAAUGUGAAAGCCCCCGGCUCAACUGGGGAGGGUCAUUCGAUACUGUCCGACUCGAAGGCAGGAGAGGGAAGCGGAAUUCCCGGUGUAGUGGUGAAAUGCGUAGAUAUCGGGAGGAACACCAGUGGCGAAGGCGGCUUUCUGGCCUGUUCUUGACGCUGAGGCGCGAAAGCUAGGGGAGCGAACGGG
Molecule: ribosomal RNA, 253 nt
Filed under: uncultured bacterium
Lineage: Bacteria
Description: partial 16S ribosomal RNA
Rfam family: Bacterial small subunit ribosomal RNA
Source: RNAcentral